RNAcentral lists this ribosomal RNA (270 nucleotides) under uncultured bacterium. RNAcentral's name for it is "partial 16S ribosomal RNA". It matches the Rfam family "Bacterial small subunit ribosomal RNA", at positions 524 to 792 of the family's 1533-position model. The record is from RNAcentral.
UACGUAGGGUGCGAGCGUUAAUCGGAAUUACUGGGCGUAAAGCGUGCGCAGGCGGUUUUGUAAGUCAGAUGUGAAAUCCCCGGGCUCAACCUGGGAACUGCGUUUGUGACUGCGAGGCUAGAGUACGGCAGAGGGGGGUAGAAUUCCACGUGUAGCAGUGAAAUGCGUAGAGAUGUGGAGGAAUACCGAUGGCGAAGGCAGCCCCCUGGGAUAACACUGACGCUCAUGCACGAAAGCGUGGGGAGCAAACAGGAUUAGAUACCCCGUGUA